RNAcentral lists this ribosomal RNA (460 nucleotides) under uncultured bacterium. RNAcentral describes it as "partial 16S ribosomal RNA". It matches the Rfam family "Bacterial small subunit ribosomal RNA", at positions 338 to 795 of the family's 1533-position model. The record is from RNAcentral.
CCUACGGGGUGCAGCAGUGAGGAAUAUUGGUCAAUGGGCGCGAGCCUGAACCAGCCAAGUAGCGUGAAGGAUGACUGCCCUAUGGGUUGUAAACUUCUUUUAUAAAGGAAUAAAGUGAGGCACGGGUGCCUUUUUGUAUGUACUUUAUGAAUAAGGAUCGGCUAACUCCGUGCCAGCAGCCGCGGUAAUACGGAGGAUCCGAGCGUUAUCCGGAUUUAUUGGGUUUAAAGGGAGCGUAGGUGGGUUGUUAAGUCAGUUGUGAAAGUUUGCGGCUCAACCGUAAAAUUGCAGUUGAUACUGGCAGCCGUGAGUACAGUAGAGGUAGGCGGAAUUCGUGGUGUAGCGGUGAAAUGCUUAGAUAUCACGAAGAACUCCGAUUGCGAAGGCAGCUUACUAAACUGCCACUGACACUGAUGCCCGAAAGUGUGGGUAUCAAACAGGAUUAGAUACCCCAGUAGUC